ACAUUCCUACGGGAGGCAGCAGUGAGGAAUAUUGGUCAAUGGGCGAGAGCCUGAACCAGCCAAGUCGCGUGAAGGAUGACGGCCCUAUGGGUUGUAACCUUCUUUUGUCAGGGAGCAAUUGGGUCCACGUGUGGGCUUAGCGAGAGUACCUGCAGAAAAAGCAUCGGCUAACUCCGUGCCAGCAGCCGCGGUAAUACGGAGGAUGCGAGCGUUAUCCGGAUUUAUUGGGUUUAAAGGGUGCGUAGGCGGAAUAUCAAGUCAGCGGUACAAAUUCGGGGCUCAACCCCGUCGUGCCGUUGAAACUG
This 305-nucleotide ribosomal RNA is filed under the name uncultured bacterium. RNAcentral's name for it is "bacterial SSU rRNA". It matches the Rfam family "Bacterial small subunit ribosomal RNA", at positions 333 to 635 of the family's 1533-position model. The record is from RNAcentral.